GACGAACGCUGGCGGCGUGCUUAACACAUGCAAGUCGAACGGAAAGGCCCUGCUUUUGUGGGGUGCUCGAGUGGCGAACGGGUGAGUAACACGUGAGUAACCUGCCCUUGACUUUGGGAUAACUUCAGGAAACUGGGGCUCAUACCGGAUAGGAGCUCCUGCUGCAUGGUGUGGGUUGGAAAGUUUCGGCGGUUGGGGAUGGACGUGCGGCUUAUCAGCUUGUUGGUGGGGUAGUGGCGUACAAAGGCGUGGACGGGUAGCCGGACUGCGAGGGUGACCGGCCACAUUGGGACUGAGAAACGGCCCAGACGGCUACGGGAGGCAGGGGUGGGGAAUAGUGCAAAAUGGGCCGAAGGCUGAUGCAGCAACGUCGGGUGGGGGAUGACGGUUGUUGGGGUAGAAACCGCGUGCGCCUGUGACGAAGCGUGAGUGACGGUAAUUGGUAAAGAAGCACCGGCUAACUACGUG
RNAcentral lists this ribosomal RNA (468 nucleotides) under uncultured bacterium. RNAcentral's name for it is "partial 16S ribosomal RNA". It matches the Rfam family "Bacterial small subunit ribosomal RNA", at positions 28 to 507 of the family's 1533-position model. The record is from RNAcentral.